GCGGGCAUCGUUCAGUGGUAGGACUCCACUCUUCCAAAGUGGUAACACCAGUUCGAAUCUGGUUGCCCGCACCA
This 74-nucleotide transfer RNA is filed under the name Puniceicoccales bacterium. RNAcentral's name for it is "tRNA-Gly". It matches the Rfam family "tRNA". Rfam says of the family: Transfer RNA (tRNA) molecules are approximately 80 nucleotides in length. The record is from RNAcentral. Lineage: Bacteria; Pseudomonadati; Verrucomicrobiota; Opitutia; Puniceicoccales.